GACGAACGCUGGCGGCGUGCUUAACACAUGCAAGUCGAACGGAAAGGCCCUGCUUUUGUGGGGUGCUCGAGUGGCGAACGGGUGAGUAACACGUGAGUAACCUGCCCUUGACUUUGGGAUAACUUCAGGAAACUGGGGCUAAUACCGGAUAGGAGCUCCUGCUGCAUGGUGGGGGUUGGAAAGUUUCGGCGGUUGGGGAUGGACUCGCGGCUUAUCAGCUGGUUGGUGGGGUAGUGGCUUACCAAGGCUGUGACGGGUAGCCGGCCUGAGAGGGUGACCGGCCACAUUGGGACUGAGAUACGGCCCAGACUCCUACGGGAGGCAGCAGUGGGGAAUAUUGCACAAUGGGCGGAAGCCUGAUGCAGCAACGCCGCGUGCGGGAUGACGGCCUUCGGGUUGUAAACCGCUUUCGCCUGUGACGAAGCGUGAGUGACGGUAAUGGGUAAAGAAGCACCGGCUAACUACGUG
Molecule: ribosomal RNA, 468 nt
Filed under: uncultured bacterium
Lineage: Bacteria
Description: partial 16S ribosomal RNA
Rfam family: Bacterial small subunit ribosomal RNA
Source: RNAcentral